GCCGCCACCCCCAAUGGAUCCUCACCGCGUGCGGCCCCGAUGGCUCCUCGCCGCACGCCGCCCCAUCCUCGUCGAUCUACUCGCGCGCCACCCCAUCCCCACCGCCCCCAACUCCCCUCACGCGCGCUGCCCCGACCACACCUUGCUGCGCGCUGCGCCAUCCUCGUGCAAUCCUCGCCGCACGCCGUCCCAUCCCUUCCCAUUCUCUCAACAUGUUUAAACGUCAUGUUCAAGGAUUUUGUGAUGGUCCUGAUUUCCUAAUCUUGUAGUGCUAGGUUUGGUCAAAUGCUGAGUAGUCCACUCGCCUUCUGCCCCCAACCCGUGAAGGCCUUCGGUGGAUCUGCACGUCGCUGGCUCAAAGUGAACCCUGGCAUAUGAUUGAGACUUGCAGCAGCAUGCUCGAAGGGUGAAACACAUAAGGAGAUCAUGGAACCAGAUAAAGCUCAUUUAUUAGGUACCAUUUAUUGAACAAGCACCUUGUUCUUUGUUUGUAACUUUUGCUCGACCAAUACAACACACAUGAAGCUCAAAUCACAUUUGAUGGAAGUAAAUAUUUAAGGAAAUUUUGCCGAAGUGGUUUGAAUUAAUUGUGGCAUAUGUUAUUCAAAUGAGAGAAUCGAUUAACUCUCUUUUUCUGCAAUUUGGAGGCCUAUAGUUGCUAUUAUUAUUGUUUGAUCACAUCAUAUGCAAUGGUAACACAAUUUGGUCCA
Molecule: long non-coding RNA, 710 nt
Organism: Panicum virgatum (switchgrass)
Lineage: Eukaryota; Viridiplantae; Streptophyta; Magnoliopsida; Poales; Poaceae
Exons: 2
Source: RefSeq, a predicted model, not a curated record